RNAcentral lists this ribosomal RNA (486 nucleotides) under uncultured Flavobacteriia bacterium. RNAcentral describes it as "bacterial SSU rRNA". It matches the Rfam family "Bacterial small subunit ribosomal RNA", at positions 8 to 491 of the family's 1533-position model. The record is from RNAcentral. Lineage: Bacteria; Pseudomonadati; Bacteroidota; Flavobacteriia.
AGGGUUUGAUCCUGGCUCAGGAUGAACGCUAGCGGCAGGCCUAAUACAUGCAAGUCGAACGGUAACAGGGUAGCAAUACCGCUGACGAGUGGCGCACGGGUGCGUAACGCGUAUGCAACUUACCUUAAACUGGGAGAUAGCCCCUCGAAAGAGGGAUUAAUACCCCAUAGUAAUUAGAUGAGGCAUCUCAUUUAGUUUAAAGCUCAGACGGUUUAAGAUAGGCAUGCGUGACAUUAGCUAGUUGGUGAGGUAAUGGCUCACCAAGGCUACGAUGUCUAGGGGUUCUGAGAGGAUGAUCCCCCACACUGGUACUGAGACACGGACCAGACUCCUACGGGAGGCAGCAGUAAGGAAUAUUGGACAAUGGGCGCAAGCCUGAUCCAGCCAUGCCGCGUGCAGGAUGACGGUCCUAUGGAUUGUAAACUGCUUUUAUACGAGAAGAAACAUCCCGACGAGUCGGGACUUGACGGUAUCGUAAGAAUAAGG